CGGUGGUCCGCUCCUCCGCUUCGCCGCCUUCUUCUCCGACGAGGAGGCCGUCAUCACCGCGGGCGGCGGUUGCAUUGCUGCGGGGCCCUCGGCGCCGCCGCCGAUUUCGAUGGAGGACGGUGCCGAACCCAAGGUUCUGGAUGGUCAAGUAAAGAAGGUGGUGGUUAGCGUGAGUCUGUCAUCUCUGUGACGAACUACUUACUGUCUGCGAGGGAGUGGAAGAAAAUUUACCUCUGAGAAGUUAUGGGCUUGGGUCUCGGCCAUAACCUUAUUUUGGGCUUCGUUGGGCUCAUGUCCAUCCUGUAUGCCCCCCCAAAAGAAGUCCAUCCAAUAUGAUACCACAUGUUUCUCAAAAUUGUCUAAAAAAACAUGUUCCUCAAAAAAAAUAAAAAAUAUCUUACCACAUGUGUUGUUAGAAGCAAAGUAAGCAGCCUCGAUACCUAGCCGCCACCGCCUCUAAAAAGAAGCCUAGGAUUCCUCUGCCUCCUGUUAGCACCGUCGUCGGUCCGCCUCAUCUCCGAUGGCCCUAGGGGCCAUGGAGGCAUGAUGUUUCCGGCCCUUAUCGGCGGGAGGGCUCCGUUUUAAAUGUUUUUCUGAGUUUUGUUAGGAUUUGUGUCCGGCUCAGGAAGACGGUGGCUGCUUCCUGAAGAUGGAAUGAUGUUCUCCUCGCCUAGCCCAUCUCAAUGGUGCAUCUAGCAUCAUCGAAGGACGUGUGGAGGUGUGUCUCUGGAGAAUCUCGCGGGAUUCAGUCGGUGGUUGUCUUUGGUGGAUCUACUCGGAUUCGAUCUUCGUUUGUCUACGUUCUUUUGUUUUCAGGUUUGAUCUUUCCGAUCUACGUGUUUCUUCAUCGGUGGCGGUUGUUAUUCUGGUGCGUUGGUCCUAUGGGCCUUAGCACGACGAUUUCCCAACUGUCUACUACAACAAAUUUUCCUGGCUCCGGUGAGGGAGGGCAAUGACGGUGGCGUGCCUUCAGCUCACUUCAGUGCUUGUAGUCGUCGCUAGGUUGCCUACGAAUCUGGAUGUAAUUUUUAAUUUUUUAUGUUCGUUGUCCUAUCAUGAUUGAAGAUGAAUAAGUUUUAAGUUUUCUCGAAAAAAAAGAGAAGCAAAGUAAGCAAGGACAAUUAAUAUGGAUAAUAUUUUUUUUCUGGCAACAAACAUUGUUAAAUCUUCUACGUAUGUGCAAAUUUUCUUAAAGAAAAACCUUUCCUAAUGCUUUGGGCAAAUAAAAUAAAAUAAAUGCUCCCAAAAGACUAUUUUUGAAAGAUAUUUGGAGUAUUGAUUUUGUUAUUUUUGUCCAGAACUCCACAAAUGUGAUUUUAUCACGAAAUUUUGCACGGGAAAGAAAACUAAGCAAUGUUUGUUGUAAAAAUAAUUAUGUUUUUUGAAUUUUGUUUAUGUUUUUCUCAGGAUUAGACAGGCACUUUCGAGUACAAUUAUGA
Aegilops tauschii subsp. strangulata is the source of this 1439-nucleotide long non-coding RNA. RefSeq lists it as uncharacterized. Lineage: Eukaryota; Viridiplantae; Streptophyta; Magnoliopsida; Poales; Poaceae. The record is from RefSeq and is a predicted model, not a curated record.